GCUGCUCCUAGUACGAGAGGACCGGAGUGGACGCACCGCUAGUGUACCUGUUGUGUGGUCGCAUGCAUCGCAGGGUAGCUAUGUGCGGAAGUGAUAAGCCGCUGAACGCAUCUAAGCGCGAAGCACGCUCCAAGAUAAGUAUUCCCUAUGAGCCUCCUGGAAGACGACCAGGUAGAUAGGCGGCAGGUGUACGCAUGGUGACAUGUUUAGCCG
Molecule: ribosomal RNA, 213 nt
Filed under: Isochrysis galbana
Lineage: Eukaryota; Haptophyta; Isochrysidales; Isochrysidaceae
Description: partial Bacterial large subunit ribosomal RNA
Rfam family: Bacterial large subunit ribosomal RNA
Source: RNAcentral